GACGAACGCUGGCGGCGUGCUUAACACAUGCAAGUCGAACGGGAUUUAGUAAACGGAAGCCUCGGUGGAAGAUUACUAAUGAGAGUGGCGAACGGGUGAGUAACGCGUGAGCAACCUGCCUAUGACAGUGGGAUAGCCUCGUGAAACCGGGAUUAAUACCGCAUAAAAUCGUAGAAACACAUGUGUCAACGGUCAAAGAUUUAUCGGUCAUAGAUGGGCGCGCGUCUGAUUAGCUAGUUGGUGAGAUAACAGCCCACCAAGGCGACGAUCAGUAGCCGGUCUGAGAGGAUGGACGGCCACAUUGGAGCGGAGCCACAGUAGAAACUCCUACGGGAGGCAGCAGUGGGGAAUAUUGCACAAUGGGGGAAACCAUGAUGCAGCGACGCCGCGUGAACGAAGAAGGUAUUCGUAUCGUAAAGUUCUGUCAUAUGGGAAGAUAAUGACAGUACCAUAGAAGAAAGCCCCGGCUAACUACGUG
This 478-nucleotide ribosomal RNA is filed under the name uncultured bacterium. RNAcentral describes it as "partial 16S ribosomal RNA". It matches the Rfam family "Bacterial small subunit ribosomal RNA", at positions 28 to 507 of the family's 1533-position model. The record is from RNAcentral.